GGGGAAUUUUAGACAAUGGGGGCAACCCUGAUCCAGCCAUGCCGCGUGAGUGAAGAAGGCCUGCGGGUUGUAAAGCUCUUUCGGCCGGGAAGGAAUCGUGCAGGCUAAUACCCUGUAUGGAUGACGGUACCUGAAUAAGACGCACGGGCUAACUACGUGGUAGCAGCCGCGGUAAUACGUAGGGUGCGAGCGUUAAUCGGAAUUACUGGGCGUAAAGCGUGCGCAGGCGGUUUUGUAAGACAGGCGUGAAUCCCCGGGCUCAACCUGGGAACUGCGCUUGUGACUACAAGACUAGAGUACGGCAGAGGGGGGUGGAAUUCCACGUGUAGCAGUGAAAUGCGUAGAGAUGUGAAGGAAAACCAAUGGCGAAAGCAGCCUCCUGGGGCGAUACUGACGCUCAUGCACGAAAGCGUGGGGAGCAAACA
Molecule: ribosomal RNA, 425 nt
Filed under: uncultured Azovibrio sp.
Lineage: Bacteria; Pseudomonadati; Pseudomonadota; Betaproteobacteria; Rhodocyclales; Rhodocyclaceae
Description: bacterial SSU rRNA
Rfam family: Bacterial small subunit ribosomal RNA
Source: RNAcentral